AAAGGAGGAAAGAGAGAAGAAAAGGAAAGAAGGAAAGAGAAGAGGAAAGGGAAAGGAGGAAAGAAAAGAGGAAAGAGAGUCAGGCAGAGAAGAGGAAGAGAAGGAAGAAAUAGGGUGAGUGAGCAGAGAGAAAAUUCAGUGAGCCUUACAUAUUGUAAACUCUAAAGUUGUAGCCCUAUUAUUUUACAUAGUGGAAAAGUUACUACUGCUGUUCUCCGGGGACGUAGGCAUAGCCGAACCUCGUUAAAUACUGUGUCUUAUCUACUUUACGUGCAGCUCAAUAUUCGCACAUAUUCCAGGUUAUUUUAUAACACGUUAUCAGCACGAGAAGCUCUCAGGUAUAAUUUUUGUGCUGCACUAUUAUUUGUACUACUAACCAUUAUGUUGAUGUAAAGAAGAAAAGACAACGCAUCUAGCUUUCCACUAAUAUAUAUAUUAUAUAUAUGAAAAGUUGAUGGUAAUAUAAUAUACUAUAUUUAUCUGCUUUUCUAUUACUAACCAUUAACAAAAAUGGACCCUUGGUAAUACUAAACAUAUUAUCAGUGGGAGACCGUUACUAAUACUAACACUUUCCUUAUCUUGUUCAGUGGUGGUUUUUAUUCCCACAUUUAUUUUAUUUACUGUAUGGUGUAGGUUUAUUACCCAUACAACAGUAUUUAUUUAAAAGGGUGGUGCGGGUUUAUCGCCCACGCCUUUGCUUUUAUUUAAAUGUAUGGAGCAGAAUUAGUGCCCAUACAAGCACGUUUACUUUAUCGCAAAUUUACUUUUACUUAAAGUAUUAUUUAUGGUAUGGUGUAGGUUUAUUACCCAUACGGCAAUAUUUAUUUAAAAGGGUGGUGCGGGUUUAUCGCCCACGCCUUUGCUUUUAUUUAAAUGUAUGGAGCAGAAUUAGUGCCCAUACAAGCACGUUUACUUUACCGCACAUUUAAUUUUAUUUAAGGUAUGGUGCUGGAUUAACGUCCAUACAGCAAGCUAUUUAAUUUAUUUAAGGUAUGGUGCGGGAUUAACGUCCAUACAUCAAGCAAUUUAAUUUAUGAAUUUAAUUUACUGCACAUUUACAUUUAUUUAAAAGGGUGGUGCGGGUUUAUCGUCCACGCCUUUACUUUUAUUUAAAUGUAUGGUGCGGGUUUAUCGUCCAUACCAGUAAUUUAUUUACCAGCAAUUUAUUUUAUGGAUUAAUUGUGCUGUAUGAUGAGUUUUUUUACAGUAUGCAGAUCAGGACUAGAAGUUCCUUGAUCCUCAUCAUACAAUUACAUCAGGACUUGAAGAUCCUUGAUGAUGAUAUUAAUAUGAGAGCUGGCAGUCUCUUCGGUACUGUAUUUGUAAACAUGUAAUCGGACUUAAGGGUCCUUGAUCCCUGACAUGUAAAUAAGGACCUAGAGUUCAUUAAUGAUGUAACAGUACCGUAUUGGUUCAUAGUGCCGUACACAUUGAUGAUAACUGUACUGGCAGAUGAAUAGAUACGUAUUCAUGACUUGAUGAAUAGUACUAUUCACAUGAAUAGUGACGUAUGUAUAAAUAUGAACCAUUUUGGGUAAACCGUCAUUAUAUACAAAAGGGAACCUGCAGUUUCAUAGUGCCGUACACAUUGAUGAUAACUGUACUGGCAGAUGAAUAGAUACGUAUUCAUGACUUGAUGAAUAGUACUAUUCACAUGAAUAGUGACGUAUGCAUAAAUAUGAACCAUUUUGGGUAAACCGUCACUAUAUACAAAAGGGAACCUGCAGUUCCUUAAACUCAUGGAUGAACAAUUAAAUGAGAUGCCAGAAGUUCCUCAAAAUAUGGACAAUUAUGUAAGGGCUUGAAGUCCCGAAAUAUGUACAGAAAAUUAUAAAAAUGUCCAUACCAUGAGAAUAUGUGGCUUUGGCCUGAAGUUCAAAAUUUAACAGUGUUGAGAACCUGAAGUUCCAACAAUUAAAUGGACAACCCUUGAGGUAUUAUUGCAAAUUGUGGUAUGCCACAUAUUUCUUUGGCAUAAGAAGAUGAUGAAUUUAAUAAAGUUCGAUUUUGUUAUAAUCGACACCUCAAGGAAGAAAUAUAUUUUGUGAAUUUCGGUUGUUAAGAAUACACCGCGAAAUGGAUAAUAUCAAUAUAAACCUCAAAUAAUGAAUUGAGGCUCCCCACAUAUUUUGUUAUAUCUGGGCCGGAAGCCCAUGGAUCCAAAUAUAUGAGAGAUCCUAAACUUGAAGUUGUGGGUAUAUAGUAGUUAAUGCUCUUCACUACUAUAUUGCGAUAUUAUCAUGGCUUUUACUCAAUUCACAUUUCAUAUCCAUUUGAAAAGGGCAAAUAAAUUCUGAGUUUGUGCCCAGGCCAAAAGUUCCGGGCUACCAUGCAAUUUGGGAGAGACAAUGUGGUUAUUUGAACCUAUAAGGCACAAGGUUCCAAACCGUCAUUUUGAAAAGACGUAAAAACCACAGGUGCAAGUUUAAGAAUGUGCGCAAUUAUUAUUACAGGAACAUACAACAGAUAGAUUUUUUCCACCUGCAAUUAAGGUGCAGGCCCUGUAAAAUCUAUAAAAUUACAUUAUGUUCUGGAAGCCUCUGAAGGAAGAGUACGGCGCCUCUUAAGCUUGGCCAUGAGCUUCUCGUGGUCUCCCAAAAUUCUUUCAUUGGAGACCUGCAGCAUGUCUAGCCUUCUCAGUGUAUCAACGGAGUACGAACUCACCAGUUUCAACAAGGAAUUAUUCUCUCCUUUAAGUUUCUCAACCUCCUGUUGAGACACAUGAAGCAUUCUUUGAAGAGACGAAUUUUCAGUUGUCAGCUUCUCAACCUCGUUUGCUCUAGCACGCAAACGAUCAGCCAUGUUAGAAACAGAAGCAGCACUCUGAAUGCUAAAAGCCAUUGAGUCAUCAAUAGCCUCUUCCUCAGACCUCCCUGUUAACAGCAUUUCAUCCAUUGGAGUAAUGAAAUUCCGAGCUACUAUGACAGCAGUAGCAUCAUUCAUCAUCACAGAAUCAUUAACUGUGAGAUGACGAUUUUGGGAUACAAAGGAUGGACGCCAAACUUGGGCAUCAUUGGUAGUUGUGGGAGCAUCAUUUAAAUUGAAAUAAUUUGGGCAGGAAGAAGAGGAAGCCAUUUUUGAGAAGGUUUCGAAAAAAGUCUUAGGAAAACUAAAGUUUCAGAAAAUGAAGAAAUUUGAGUUGAAACGCAGUUGCUCCAAUCAAGUUUUGCAAAGGCCAUAUCUAUAGGAGGAAAUAUGGCUACUGUUUUUCAGGACCCCAAUAUCUUCUCGAAUCCCCAUAUUAUCUUUUUCUUUCCCAGAGUCCAAAACUUCACGUGGCCUCUAAUAAUGCCUGUCGGCACUUUCGGCGUUUUCAAGUAUUAUUUUCAAAGCUGAUCUUGCUUUGCGGAUUUCACGGAGCUACUUUUUCAAAAGUAUCCCGAGAAUCUCGCAAUUUUCCUAUGGUUAAUUUGAAAUUCACCGGUUCUAUCUAUUCAUUGUAUUUGUGUAUAAAUGUGUUACUAACGAAAUUUUCUUUGCAGAAGACAUCCAGUUUUCUCCAUGCCUAGUGAUGCGAUAUCUACUUAUUUUUCUUAUCAGUGAGCAUUCAAUAUGCCCGAGAAGCAAGACUAUCUCUGAUCAUCCAUUCAGGAAGCGAGACUAUCCCUGAUCACGUUUCCGCCACAUCCGGGAACUGUGAAGGCGACCUUAUGCUCUAAUCUCCUGAGGUCCUUCUAGACUAGGAGAACUGAGAGCUUGUUCUUUGCUCCCACCAGCUUCCUUCCUUGAUUGCUUACCUUACCUUGCAAUCAAUAUCACAAUCUUUUUGCAUUUUUUCUCUUUUUAUAACUCUCUGUUCAUAAGAGAUUUUAUUUCUUUAGAAUGAACAUCUGAAGAAUGAAUCCAUGCAGUGAUCCUAACUCUGAGAGUUAUUUGUUUUUGACAGAGAAGAGAAUUGUGAUUUUUGCUCUUGCAGGAUAUAACAAGAUCAUCAAGCGAUACUUUAUAUUUACUGGGCCGAUACGAGCUUGAAUGAUACUUGAGAAAAGUUUCUCCCACCUAAGGAUGUAAGCAAUACUUGUGUUAUUUUAUGCUUAUAUACCUAUUUGAUAUUUUAUCUUGAAAGGUAACCAAAUUGGGAGAUAAGUCCGUUCCAAAAGAAUGGCUUGUAUGUAUCCAUGAAUUAUUAACGCAAAUUUUACAGAUUGCAAGUUGGAUACAUUGAUAAUACACUGCACAUAUUAAAGUCCCAUAAGAACAGAAUAUGGGUAUAGCAGUGAUCAAUAUGAUGCACGCCUGUUGCGUAGCAAAUGAUAUGGAUUGAAGUCCCGAAAGGACAAUCCUUUGACAUGUCAAUAUUGAUAUUAUGCACGCCUAAUGCCUAGCAAAUUAUAUGGGUUAAAGUCCCAUAAUACGGGUUAAAGUCCCAGAAAUUAAUUGACAUGUAUGUAUUAAUCUGUGGCAUGCCUGCAGCAUGACAGAUAUAUGGGUGCACGCCUGUUGCGUAGCAAAUGAUAUGGAUUGAAGUCCCGAAAGGACAAUCCUUUGACAUGUCAAUAUUGAUAUUAUGCACGCCUAAUGCCUAGCAAAUUAUAUGGGUUAAAGUCCCAUAAUAUGGGUUAAAGUCCCAUAAAUUAAUUGACAUGUAUGUAUUAAUCUGUGGCAUGCCUGCAGCAUGACAGAUAUAUGAGUUCUAAAUGUUCCAACUCCCUAAAUGGAGAUUAUCCACGCCCUACUAUAAAAUAACGCUCCAUUGGAGGUUAUAAUCCACAUUCUCACAUAAUAAAAGCCCUCUGAAGUGGCUUGGGUACCCAAAAGCAAAGAAAUGCUUAUAAUUGAUGCAUGCACGUGCAAAUGAGAAUGGUGGGAUCAUGAAUUGAUGAAUGACAAUUUUUGAUCAUGAAUUGAUGAAUGACAAUUUUUGGUUUUGGAGUAGCUACUCAAAUCAUCAAUGAGCUGUGUUGAUUGGAACCACGUUCAAUUAUUAAAUGUCGACAAUAUCAUUGGCCAAAAUGGAACGAGGUAAUUCCAUUAUAAAUGAGAAUGAACGUGAAAGAACAAACCCACAGUACGAACCCCAAAUUUGUUAAUACUGAAAGUUAUACUUGGGUGUUCGGAAUAAAAGGGAAUAUACCUACUUUGUAUGACACAAUGUUUCUGGCAGAAACAAGGAAUGUUGGGUUUUCUCCAUAUUUACAGAUUCAAUUGUGCCCCCCUUAUUACACAAUAACGGAGACCAACAUAUUAUCUUUAAGGGUUAUUAAAUGCGCAGAGCAUAUCGCCUGAAGUGAUUCCCUAAAGAUGUAUAAAUAGCUGGGUUAAAGCUAUAUAAUGUGUCAUAAAGUUUAAUCCCUUUUAAACAAAAUCCGUUGAGCAGAUUGACAUUGCAUAAAGCAAGUCCCUAAAGGACAUGUGCUUAAAGCACAAAAUUUGUACUCAAUAUUAAUAUGCAUAAAUUACCUCAGUGAGUACAUUGAUGUGAUUGCAACACAUUAAAGAUUCUGCAGAAUUCAAGAAAUAUUUAUCUCGACUUAAAAAUUGAGCAUUAUGCCAACGAGAUUCUUGCUUAUACUAAGAAAGUAUUGAAGCAUUUUUAUGAGGAUUAUCCGUUGGGCACUUUAAGGAUUUUCCGGAAGUAUAUUGGACCGGACAUCAUAUUUUCCAGAUAAGGCUCAACUCCAUCACCAUCAUUUUGGGAUGAUGUGAGGUAUAUUUGAUGCUAUCUCCGCAUAACACCAUGUAUGGGCAUAUUCUUUCAUAUGAUCUUACAAAUAGCCCAGGUUUUGUUGGAAACGCGGACUCUGAAAAUUUUUAUGAUUUCCAUAGAGAUAGCUUACUGGAAAUAUAUUUACUAUAUGAAUUGUUGGUGGCUACAUCAUUCACUCACUCAGAAAGAUUCUCAAUCCAAAAGAUAGUCAUGAAGACAUCAGGGGGAGAUAUUAAUCAGGGGGAGCAUCCAGAAGUAUGCUAUACAGAUUGUUGUACUCUUCUUUCCAUCAGUUCUCUACCUUACUAGGUUUUCUCCAAGCAAGUCUUUAAUGAUACAACCGACAUAUCAUUAGUGGUCUCCAAGGAGGAGUGUUGUAAAAGAAUAAACAUGUGGAGCCCACUAACUAUUCAUUACUAUUCAUUUGGAGACUUUUGGUAGAGUUUAUCUGUCACGGGUGAAUAGUGAAUAGUGAUGAAUAGUGAUUAUUUCAGCCUAUAAAUAAGAAGAGAAACGGAAAGAGAAGAGAAGAAAAAGAAAAGGAAAGAAGGAAAGAAAAAAGAAAAGGAAAGAGAGAAGAAAAGGAAAGGAGGAAAGAGAGAAGAAAAGGAAAGAAGGAAAGAGAAGAGGAAAGGGAAAGGAGGAAAGAAAAGAGGAAAGAGAGUCAGGCAGAGAAGAGGAAGAGAAGGAAGAAAUAGGGUGCGUGAGCAGAGAGAAAAUUCAGUGAGCCUUACAUAUUGUAAACUCUAAAGUUGUAGCCCUAUUAUUUUACAUAGUGGAAAAGUUACUACUGCUGUUCUCCGGGGACGUAGGCAUAGCCGAACCUCGUUAAAUACUGUGUCUCAUCUACUUUACGUGCAACUCAAUAUUCGCACAUAU
Molecule: long non-coding RNA, 6526 nt
Filed under: Prunus persica (peach)
Lineage: Eukaryota; Viridiplantae; Streptophyta; Magnoliopsida; Rosales; Rosaceae
Description: long non-coding RNA (PPER_LNC008165)
Source: RNAcentral